UACAGUGUGUAAAUUGUUUAGGAAAAACCUCUUUGUUCUUUCACAAAUAUGUGCUCAUUCAUGUGUAAUUACUUCAACAAACUAAUCAAAGUAUUCU
Etheostoma spectabile (orangethroat darter) is the source of this 97-nucleotide long non-coding RNA. RefSeq lists it as uncharacterized. Lineage: Eukaryota; Metazoa; Chordata; Actinopteri; Perciformes; Percidae. The transcript is spliced from 4 exons. The record is from RefSeq and is a predicted model, not a curated record.